Molecule: long non-coding RNA, 1352 nt
Filed under: Malus domestica (apple)
Lineage: Eukaryota; Viridiplantae; Streptophyta; Magnoliopsida; Rosales; Rosaceae
Description: long non-coding RNA (MDOM_LNC003530)
Source: RNAcentral
UUUUUCAUUAUAGAAACCUCCCAUCUUUACUCCCAAUUCUUUUCCACUAAUCCCCCAUUUUCUUCCUUAUUUUGCUCCGUCCCUCUCCCUCUGAUUCUUCCAAAUUUUUAUUCGUCCAUCACUCGCUUCAUCUCCAUCUUUUUCUUCGUAUUUCUUUCCGUUCAUCUUCCUCUUUUCUUCCUAAUUUUUCUGGGAAGCAAUUGGCGAAUCAAAACCCAAAUCAGAGUCUAAGUCAUCUGGGUAUUCAUGGGUCUGCUUCUCCGGCGUCAAUGGUGAAGGUCUGCAAUCAGGGAGUCUGGACUAGGUGCAGUGUGAUUAGAGUGAUUGCUGUGCGUUUCAGACGCACAAAGAUUUUUGUAAAAAAAAAAAAAUUUGGCUUUUUUGUUUAGAAUUUUGGAUUUUGAUCUGGUUUUGAAAGUGGAAAUAUUGCAGAAUUUUUUGCCUAUUUUGCUUCGAAUUUUGCAGGAUCUGGAUUUGGAAAUGGUAGAUGAAAGGGGCGAAGCAGGGGCAUAGUUUAUAUAUUGGACCUGGGUUCCGAAUCUUGUGAGGGACAAGUAGAUGGGAGGGGCGAAGCGAGGAGGGACGAAGCAGGGAAGAGUUGGCUUAGCAGUACAGCAGAUUUUGGGGGGUUUCGCUAAGAGCCUUUAGCGAAGUGCCUAGUCCCAUUUAGUCGGGACGAGUCUCAUUAAAGCUUGUCCUAGUUUGUAUCAAACACAGGACUAGACUACCCCUUAGUCCAGUCCAAUCUAGUGAAAGUUAGUGAGUGCAAACAAACGCACCCUAAAAGCUUUAACGUCAUCCAAGCCUCUCUAUGGAAAUAAGACUUUUGCUCGAACAAUGUAUGCAAGAAAAGAACUUGUAGCUAUGAUCUAAACAUUAGUUACUGACUAAAGCAUUAAAAGUUGAAUCAAUUAGGUCCCCGGUAAAAUUAAAAAAAAAACCGUCUAGGCCUCACUUAGAUGCUCAGACGCUAAGCUUUUACACGCCAGCCUGACCUAUGAAAUAUGCUAUUUGGAUAAAACAAAGUACGAAAAGCCAUUUGAAAUUCAAAAUGAGGGAAAAUAUGGUGGGGAAUGCAACAUUUGACUUAAGCAAUUGUGAUGCAAAUUAAUGGAGCAGGUAGUGACGAGUGGACUUUCUAGCUGCAAUUACUGAUCUCAAUUCACCUGCUCUUCUCAUGGUCGGACGCACAUUAUGACAAGGGUGGGAAAGUUGCCCAUCCUACCACCGUAAAAUCCCUUCAGCGAAGCCCAUUUUGCCACCUAGAUUGCUCAGGCGGAGGAAGAAGCAAUUUUUUUAAAACAAAUCUUAGACCCAAAGGAGGUCAUUUAGUUCAGCACUUAUGGCGUGUU